AAUACCAAGGCGCUUGAGAGAACGAUGUUGAAGGAACUCGGCAAAAUACCUCCGUAAGUUCGCGAGAAGGAGGCCCAGUUUCUACGCAAGUAUUGACUGGGGGCACAAACCAGGGGGUGGCGACUGUUUACUAAAAACACAGGGCUCUGCGAAGUCGCAAGACGACGUAUAGGGUCUGACGCCUGCCCGGUGCCUGAAGGUUAAAAGGAGGAGUGCAAGCUCCGAAUUGAAGCCCAGGUAAACGGCGGCCGUAACAAUAA
Molecule: ribosomal RNA, 260 nt
Filed under: Chaetoceros brevis
Lineage: Eukaryota; Bacillariophyta; Thalassiosirophyceae; Chaetocerotales; Chaetocerotaceae
Description: partial Bacterial large subunit ribosomal RNA
Rfam family: Bacterial large subunit ribosomal RNA
Source: RNAcentral